GGAGAAUUACUCAAGAGGCCGAAGAGGCGCCCCUGCUAAGGGUGUAGGUCGGGAAACCGGCGCGAGGGUUCAAAUCCCUCAUUCUCCG
Molecule: transfer RNA, 88 nt
Filed under: Clostridium sp.
Lineage: Bacteria; Bacillati; Bacillota; Clostridia; Eubacteriales; Clostridiaceae
Also listed under: 1 other name
Description: tRNA-Ser
Rfam family: tRNA
About the family: Transfer RNA (tRNA) molecules are approximately 80 nucleotides in length.
Source: RNAcentral